RNAcentral lists this transfer-messenger RNA (360 nucleotides) under Hyphomonadaceae bacterium. It matches the Rfam family "Alphaproteobacteria transfer-messenger RNA". Rfam says of the family: Bacterial tmRNA, also known as 10Sa RNA or SsrA, is named for its dual tRNA and mRNA-like properties. Its role is to liberate the mRNA from a stalled ribosome. Lineage: Bacteria; Pseudomonadati; Pseudomonadota; Alphaproteobacteria; Hyphomonadales; Hyphomonadaceae. The record is from RNAcentral.
GCCCUUUCGCGCGGCGGGCGACACGCCUAUAUUCGGUCCGUCCGGCCUCGGUCGGACUAUGGCGAUAAACGCGCGUAGAUAGGCGGAUCGGACCCGGGUGCAAUUCCCGGCGGCUCCACCAGCAUUUCAACCGUCGUUGGCGGGUUGUCUGGGGCCGAACUAGGAUCGACGGACGUUGAAGGACGAUGCCUUUGCCCGGGUGGUCCCGUUACAGGCCGAACAGCAAUAGUUGCCAACGACAACACUGCUGAGGGUUAUGCUCUGGCCGCGUAAGCGGUUCGAGGAAAACCCACUUUAAGUCCUGACGAGUAGCAUCGUCAGGCGGGGCCCCCCGGCGCCUGGCAACAGAAGCCGGGGACU